UGAAGAAUGGAGAAUCAUUCUUUCUUCUUUCUUUGAAUCUGUCCUCAACUCCUAUCAUAUUCCCUCUGCACAGUACUCAACCACAAAUAUAUUUAUAUUUUUUAUUUUAAUUAUUAAAUCAAUCUUCAUUUCCCCUUAUCGCCUCCUGCUCAGUUAGUAUGCCUUUUUUGGAACAGAUGGGCCAUUUUUGAUGUGGCUCUCUCUAUCAACCAAAACUCUUUCAAUUAAUAUGUUAAAUUGCAUAUGAAUUUCGAAAGAUAGAGGAUGAUUCGAUCCAGUGGUGAUCAGCAGAAGCCAUCUUCAUAACUUUCAAUCAGUAAAAUUUCGGUUCAGGAAGUUGAUGGGGUUUUGUUCCCGGUAGAAGAGACGACGACUACGAAAUCGGAACGCUGUACUGUAAAACCGAAAAGAGAUUAAAGAGUUGGGAGAUAGGCCGGGGAACAUAAACCAUGGUCUCAGUUGUUGAAAGUAAGGAAAGAUUUAAGAUUGUAAGAAGAAGAGAAGAAUGUGAGAAAGAAUGUAAAAGUUGUUAAUUUUGUUUAUGAGAAGAGUGACGAAAAUAAAAGAAUAUUUUAGUCAAAUCAAAGUCAUAAAAAUCAACUUUGGGAUGUUUGAUUGUGAUGCCAACUGUCAUAUUGUUUUCAAGCGUGGUUUACAGCUCAUGCCUUUAAAAAAGAAAAAAUGAAUAAUAGAGAAUCAUUCAUUCUUUCUUUGUACCACUGGCCCUCAGCUCCUAUCAUAUCCUUUGUAUCGGGGGUUCCACCCAUCUAUUCUGUCUACCCAACCCUUGAUCAUUAAUAUAUUUAUAUUUUUUAUUUUCCUCCUCCGUACUAAACUCAAUCAGUAUACUUUUUUUUAAUAGAUGGGCCAUUAUUUGAUGUGGCUCUCGCUACCAACCAAACUACUGAUAGCCCCAAUUCGAUCAAUUAGUAGGUUAAUUUUGCAUCUGAAUUUGAAAAGACAGAGGAUGAUUCGAUCCAGUGGUGAUCAGCAGAAGCCAUAUUCAUAACUUUCAAUCAGUAAAAUUUCGGUUCAGGAAGUUGAUGGGGUUUUGUUCCCGGUAGAAGAGACGACGACUGCAAAAUCGGAACGUUGUACUGUAAAACCGACCGAAAAGAGCUUCUUCGUUUUCUGCCUUGAUUAAGAGAUAAAUCUUGCAAACGUCGAGUGCUGCUCGUAAUAGCUUCUCAAUUAUGGCUGAAAAAUUAAAAAAACAUAGAAUCUUAUAUAACAAAUCUUAUAUACAAAAUUCUACGUAAUUUUAUUGCCUAAUUUACCUUUGCCUAGGAAACCAGUGGCACCAGUAACGAAAUAGUUCUUGGCAGGAAGAAACUCAAGAAUGCCAAUGCCAUUCUUACAAGUUCUCUCUAUUUUAUUCUGUGCUUCAAUGGAGAAAGAGCUCAUGGCUUCAAUGAAAGAAGAGCUUACACUGACAGUAAGGAAACAGAAGAGCUUUAUUGGCAAGUGAAAAUGGAGGCACAUUCUUAUAUAUAUUACUACUAAUGGCAUUUAAUACCAAGUUGGUUGGCAGAGAAACAUACACCGGCCGGCCUCUGUGCGCAUUAAUUAUUUGUCACAAUAGCCAUUGUUGAACUUGUGAUGGAAAACUAAACCAAGUGGGCUUCACCAAAACUUCCGGUGAGAUAAUUUAUAAAUAAAUAAUGAUGUAAUAUUAAGUAAUUUAGUAUUAUUUAAUUUAAAAUUAUACAAUUAUAUGAGGGUGUAAUAAUGGUGAGCUUUUGGGGUUGAGAGUCUCUACGACGUUUUGUAUAUUAACAUAUGCUACACAAGAAAAAAUUGAUUAGCCUAAAUAAAUAAACUACAUUAUUUUCUACU
This is a long non-coding RNA of Mangifera indica (mango), 1836 nucleotides long. RefSeq lists it as uncharacterized. NCBI's taxonomy places the organism in Eukaryota, Viridiplantae, Streptophyta, Magnoliopsida, Sapindales, Anacardiaceae. The transcript has 3 exons. The record is from RefSeq and is a predicted model, not a curated record.